UUGGCAUGCCUGUUUUAGGUUUAAUUCAGUUCCCAUGUUUUUUUUUUGUGCACACCACAAUCCAUUAAUUAUUCUUGCAUGGAUAGAGCAUCAGUCAUAUGAUUUUUCACAAAGAAAGCUUACCUAGAUAGGUACCAGAACAUUGGCAGCGGAAAGCAGACUCAUUACCUACACUUGCUUUGCCUGCUCACUUUCUACUGUUGCCUUCAAUGGACAAUAUUUAUGAAGUAAGAAGGUUUUAUGAUUAUAGGUUUUAAAUAAGUACUUUACUUAAUGUCAUCAGUUAGUAUUAAAUAGUAGUUCAGUGCCAAACGAAAAAUCCAUGCACUAUGCCAGAUGCCUCGGGGGCUCUUAUCCGCUCUGGGUUCAGAGUGCAGUGGCAUACCACGCUCACCCUCAACCAGAGCUGAUAGAUAGUGAAAAUGCCAGACGUUGUGAUAUCUGCACCAGUGAACCGUGUCGCACAUUUGAUCCCAAUAAUGAACAGCACAGGGGUGACGUAAAAAUCUUUAAAGACUAGUAUCUUUUGAAAUUGAAAUUUGCCUCUCAGUCUCUCAAGAAUCAAGAUGCCAAAUAGAUGUGCAGGAUUUGAUUGCUGACAAACCAGGGAUGAGGCUCAAGAGUCAAGAGAUCACCCUGCAUUGGCAAGUGGCUGGAACAACCCCAGUGCCGCACAGUUCUGCGGGAUAUUCCGGCACCUGCUCCACCGCUGCGGCGUCCGGCCCGGCAGCACAGGGAAAGUGGCAGCCCUCGACCCGACCAGCAUCCUGGCAGUCGGUCACACGACCAGCGGACGGGGAGCCAGCCUUACUACCUCGGCCUCCACCACCUCAGACAACGGUGCCACGGCACUCCACAUCAUCACGGAGCACGACUUCCAGCCUGGGCUGUCGUCUGGUGGGCAACAUCGUCACCUACAUCGCAGGGUUCGUGGUGAAGAAGGCGCUCGACUCUGUCAGCUGUAGCACCUGUCAGGAGGCCCUGGUGAGCGACAUCCAGCCGGACGACAUGACACAGCUUUACCACCUCUUCAUCAUCUCUGCCAGAUGAGCUAAGGUGGGGACGGGUUACAUGCCUGGGAUCUGACUGAGACCCGCUCAUACCCUGCCGAAGUGUUGGUGAUUUCAGCGGUCAGCUGUCUCUAGCCGGUGUCAGUGAGUCGCGGCCAGCUGCCGCUGGAGUGGGUAUCUACCGUCGAUAGCUGCUGUGUGGCGGAUAGCGUGGAUUUGGAUGGACACUUCAUAUUAAUGAACAGAUCAAUGUCUGGCCGAUAAAAGACGUAUUUUGUCGAUGAUUGCUUAGUGACUGAGUGGGUCCACUGGCGACCAAUGCAGUGGGCGCUGGGUUAACGCCUCGCCUCUUGUGACCGUGUCGAUAUGUAGCACUGUUAAUUGCCGAUUCGUUGCCGGCCGUCUCUGCUCCGUGGCUGGCUGAUCCGGCACAAACUGGUGUUCGUGGCUGAAGGCGCGGCUACAGUUACACUAGCUCGCCACGUGCCUGUGCAACUAUCGUCGGUGCUGUCUGCAAGGGCGAUGUCGGUGCCUGUAGGGGGCGCGGAUUGAUUCAAAGUGAGGAAUGGGUCAUCGGAGCUCGGGUCAGGUCAUGUUCGUCUAAAAUAAGCGGAUUUUGCGAUUUGCCGCAUCCGGGUGAAUUUCCUUGCCUUCUAGUGCAUGUUUAUGCAUUUUACAUGCGUUUUUUUUUAGUGUUGAUGUCUAGAUAACGUGCAUUUGCCUCGAGGUCAAGGCUGCGCUUCAUAUGGGCAGUUUUCGGAGCAUCUUGCUCAUUUCAUUCGUAAUUCUUAAUUAUGUUUGCGGAUUUGUGCCCGCAAAUCAUUUUUUAAAGUAAGAUUGACACGGGAUUCGAGAUCGGCGCCCAUAAAUACACUUCACAUGACC
This 1895-nucleotide long non-coding RNA is filed under the name Amphibalanus amphitrite. Its description in RNAcentral is "uncharacterized LOC122370053, transcript variant X1". Lineage: Eukaryota; Metazoa; Arthropoda; Thecostraca; Balanomorpha; Balanidae. The record is from RNAcentral.